This 581-nucleotide ribosomal RNA is filed under the name uncultured bacterium. RNAcentral's name for it is "partial 16S ribosomal RNA". It matches the Rfam family "Bacterial small subunit ribosomal RNA", at positions 355 to 932 of the family's 1533-position model. The record is from RNAcentral.
UGGGGAAUUUUGGACAAUGGGGGAAACCCGUGAUCCAGCCAUCCCGCGUGUGCGAUGAAGGCCUUCGGGUUGUAAAGCACUUUUGGCAGGAAAGAAACGUCGCGGGUUAAUACCCCGCGAAACUGACGGUACCUGCAGAAUAAGCACCGGCUAACUACGUGCCAGCAGCCGCGGUAAUACGUAGGGUGCAAGCGUUAAUCGGAAUUACUGGGCGUAAAGCGUGCGCAGGCGGUUCGGAAAGAAAGAUGUGAAAUCCCAGAGCUUAACUUUGGAACUGCAUUUUUAACUACCGGGCUAGAGUGUGUCAGAGGGAGGUGGAAUUCCGCGUGUAGCAGUGAAAUGCGUAGAUAUGCGGAGGAACACCGAUGGCGAAGGCAGCCUCCUGGGAUAACACUGACGCUCAUGCACGAAAGCGUGGGGAGCAAACAGGAUUAGAUACCCUGGUAGUCCACGCCCUAAACGAUGUCAACUAGCUGUUGGGGCCUUCGGGCCUUGGUAGCGCAGCUAACGCGUGAAGUUGACCGCCUGGGGAGUACGGUCGCAAGAUUAAAAACUCAAAUGAAUUGACGGGGUCAUAGCUG